UACGUAGGGUGCAAGCGUUGUCCGGAAUUAUUGGGCGUAAAGAGCUCGUAGGCGGUUUGUCGCGUCUGCUGUGAAACCCGGGCGUCAACCCCGGGCCUGCAGUCGAUACGGGCAGACUAGAGUGUGGUAGGGGAGACUGGAAUUCCUGGUGUAGUGGUGGAAUGCGUAGAUAUCGGGAGGAACACCAGUGGCGAAGGCGGUUGCCUGGGGCUUUGCUGACGCUGAUGCGCGAAAGCGUGGGGAGCGAUCGG
Molecule: ribosomal RNA, 251 nt
Filed under: uncultured bacterium
Lineage: Bacteria
Description: partial 16S ribosomal RNA
Rfam family: Bacterial small subunit ribosomal RNA
Source: RNAcentral